This 449-nucleotide ribosomal RNA is filed under the name uncultured bacterium. RNAcentral describes it as "partial 16S ribosomal RNA". It matches the Rfam family "Bacterial small subunit ribosomal RNA", at positions 29 to 523 of the family's 1533-position model. The record is from RNAcentral.
AACGAACGCUGGCGGCAUGCCUAACACAUGCAAGUCGAACGAGAUCUUCGGGUCUAGUGGCGCACGGGUGCGUAACGCGUGGGAAUCUGCCCUUUGGUUCGGAAUAACAGUUGGAAACGACUGCUAAUACCGGAUGAUGACGAAAAUCCAAAGAUUUAUCGCCAGAGGAUGAGCCCGCGUAGGAUUAGCUAGUUAGUGUGGUAAAGGCGCACCAAGGCGACGAUCCUUAGCUGGUCUGAGAGGAUGAUCAGCCACACUGGGACUGAGACACGGCCCAGACUCCUACGGGAGGCAGCAGUGGGGAAUAUUGGACAAUGGGCGAAAGCCUGAUCCGGCAAUGCCGCGUGAGUGAUGAAGGCCUUAGGGUUGUAAAGCUCUUUUACCCGGGAUGAUAAUGACAGUACCGGGAGAAUAAGCUCCGGCUAACUCCGUGCCAGCCGCCGCCGUAA